This 253-nucleotide ribosomal RNA is filed under the name uncultured bacterium. RNAcentral's name for it is "partial 16S ribosomal RNA". It matches the Rfam family "Bacterial small subunit ribosomal RNA", at positions 524 to 776 of the family's 1533-position model. The record is from RNAcentral.
UACGUAGGGUGCGAGCGUUACUCGGAAUUACUGGGCGUAAAGCGUGCGCAGGCGGUCUUUUUAGCCAGACGUGAAAUCCCCGGGCUUAACCUGGGAAUGGCGUUUGGGACUGGAAGUCUGGAGUGCGGCAGAGGAGACUGGAAUUCCUGGUGUAGCAGUGAAAUGCGUAGAUAUCAGGAGGAACACCGAUGGCGAAGGCAGGUCUCUGGGCUGACACUGACGCUCAUGCACGAAAGCGUGGGGAGCAAACAGG